GAUGAACGCUGGCGGCGUGCCUAAUACAUGCAAGUCGAACGCUUCUACCCUAAGGAGUGCUUGCUCUCAAUUGCGAAGGGCAGUGGCGUACGGGUUAGUAACACGUCGUCAACCUACCCAUCAGAGGCGGAUAACACUUGGAAAUAGGUGCUAAUACCUCAUAACAGUUUAUGCCGCAUGGCAUAAGAGUGAUAGGGGCUUUCUGGUGUCGCUGCUGGAUGGAUCCGCGGUGCAUUAGCUAGUUGGUGAGGUAACGGCUCACCAAGGCCACGAUGCAUAGCCGACCUGAGAGGGUGAUCGGCCACACUGGAACUGAGACACGGCCCAGACUCCUACGGGAGGCAGCAGUAGGGAAUCUUCGGCAAUGGGCGAAAGCCUGACCGAGCAACGCCGCGUGAGUGAAGAAGGUUUUCGGAUCGUAAAACUCUGUUGUUGGGGAAGAACAAGGGCGUUAGUAACUGAACGUCUCCUGACGGUACCUAACCAGAAAGACACGGCUAACUACGUG
RNAcentral lists this ribosomal RNA (508 nucleotides) under uncultured bacterium. Its description in RNAcentral is "partial 16S ribosomal RNA". It matches the Rfam family "Bacterial small subunit ribosomal RNA", at positions 28 to 507 of the family's 1533-position model. The record is from RNAcentral.